GUCGGAGUAGCUCAGUUGGUAGAGCGGUAGCUUGAAAAGUUACGCGUCGCAGGUUCGAUUCCUGUCUCCGAUA
RNAcentral lists this transfer RNA (73 nucleotides) under Xanthomonas phage X1. Its description in RNAcentral is "tRNA-Phe". It matches the Rfam family "tRNA". From Rfam's summary of the family: Transfer RNA (tRNA) molecules are approximately 80 nucleotides in length. Their secondary structure includes four short double-helical elements and three loops (D, anti-codon, and T loops). Further hydrogen bonds mediate the characteristic L-shaped molecular structure. tRNAs have two regions of fundamental functional importance: the anti-codon, which is responsible for specific mRNA codon recognition, and the 3' end, to which the tRNAs corresponding amino acid is attached (by aminoacyl-tRNA synthetases). tRNAs cope with the degeneracy of the genetic code in two manners: having more than one tRNA (with a specific anti-codon) for a particular amino acid; and 'wobble' base-pairing, i.e. permitting non-standard base-pairing at the 3rd anti-codon position. The record is from RNAcentral. Lineage: Duplodnaviria; Heunggongvirae; Uroviricota; Caudoviricetes.